AGAAGGAUCAUUAACAAAUACCCUUAUUUAAACCAAACCGAGAAUUGUUCUUGACCAUUGAUUAGAGAGAGUCUAGUUCUAAGUGAUGAUAGCAGUGAGAGGAUUCGAAAGGAUCUUUAUUGCUUAGAACUGCUCAGUAAUGAGGUAGCUCUCUUCUCAGUGUAGCACUGUUGGAUUUGUAACUCGCAAGAGUUCCUAAUCUGUUUUACUAUUUUACCCCCUUUGUAACAAUUGUACUAAUCCCACUUUGUGGUUCUUAUGAAAGUAAGAAACCCUACAAUACAACUCUUAGCAACGGAUAUCUUGGCUCUCGUAUCGAUGAAGAACGCAGCGAACUGCGAUACGUAAUGCGAAUUGCAGAAUUCAGUGAAUCAUCAAAUCUUUGAACGCAUACUGCGCUUUCGGGAUAUGCCUGAAAGCAUGCCUCUCUGAGUGUCGUUUCAAACCCAACUCGACUUUUUGUCGGAUAAUGUAAGUCUUGCUUCAGAAGAUGCAAGUCUUAUUAAAUACAGAUAAAUCUACUGAUCCUUCAGUUUAACAUGAGUCUUAUUGCUCAUCUAGUACUGAUGUAUGAUAUUUGACCUUUAUGGUCAUUACUUUUGUACAUCUCGGUAUUAGGAGCGUUUGAUUUAUGUGAAGGACCAUUAGGUUAGAUCAGCAAUGAUCGAACCCAAACUUUCUUGAACUUUGACCUCAGAUGAAGUAGGAUUACCCGCCGAAUUUAAGCAUAUUAUUAAGCGGAGGAAAAGAAACUAACAAGGAUUCCCCUAGUAACGGCGAGUGAAGCGGGAAUAGCUCAACCUGAAAAUCGGUGUGCUCUGUACAUCGAGUUGUGGGCUUGAGACUGUAUGUUAGCGUGCGACCUGGGUAUAAAUCCUUUGGAAUAGGGUAUCAUAGAGGGUGAGAAUCCCGUCUUUGACUCAGAGUUCGCCGCGUACGACUAUAGCUCCUAGAGUCGAAUAGCUUGGGAAUGCUGUUCUAAGUAGGUGGUAAAUUUCAUCUAAAGCUAAAUAUCGACGAGAGACCGAUAGCGAACAAGUACCGCGAGGGAAAGAUGAAAAGAACUUUGAAAAGAGAGUUAAAAAGUACUUGAAAUUGCUAAGAGGGAAGCACUGGAAACCAGUAAUGCUUGGAUCUAUAUUUCCCGUUUGCCUAUGUAAGGUGGUUUGCCUAGAUCGUAAGACUGGGUGGAUUAUCUGAAGUGGGUAGGCGGUGUCUGUAGGUUUGAGUGAGUCAGGAUCAGUUAGAGCGGUGAGAGAAAGCUAGUGGGAAGGUAGCCGAUUGGUUUCUUCGGGGAUUAAUCGGAACUUAUAGCCCAUUAGCCCUAUCAUGGCUUUGACUGAGGUAAAAAACUUAAUCUGCGCCUUUGGCAGCUUUUGCUGACCUCUGCUGUCUGGUAUGAUUGGGAGAACAAAGUUCUGCCGUUGUAUUCAGGUGGUACUGGGUUGGACAAAAGACUUGCAGAUUCGAGAUCUUGACGAAAUGGUUUUCAUUGACCCGUCUUGAAACACGGACCAAGGAGUCUAACAUAUAUGCGAGUAUUUGGGUGUAAAAACCCUGAUGCGGAAUGAAAGUGAAGGACAACUUAGUUGUCUUAGGGAGGAAUCUUGGCGCAAGCUGAGAGGCACUCUCGACCGAUCUAUCGUUUACGAAAGAUUUGAGUAAGAGCAUAUCUGUUGGGACCCGAAAGAUGGUGAACUAUGCCUGUGCAGGGCGAGGCCAGGGGAAACUCUGGUGGAGGCUCGUAGCGAUACUGACGUGCAAAUCGUUCGUCUGACAUGGGUAUAGGGGCGAAAGACUAAUAGAACCAUUUAGUAGCUGGUUCCCUC
Molecule: unclassified non-coding RNA, 1829 nt
Filed under: uncultured fungus
Lineage: Eukaryota; Fungi
Description: sequence contains 18S rRNA gene, ITS1, 5.8S rRNA gene, ITS2, 28S rRNA gene
Rfam family: Eukaryotic large subunit ribosomal RNA (bases 689-1829)
Source: RNAcentral